ACUUGACUCGCUGAACUGCUAUACAAGAAUCAUCACUUUAAUAUGUAAACGAAGUUUCGUAUACUUACAAUUUUGUUUUUCUGAAGUUCCGUAAUAGUAUGUUUUACUAUAGCUGAAUUAACGACGCAAUAACAUUGGUUACAUUUUCGAGCAUCAAACUCCUUAACCACGCUUCCACGUACGCCCUACGUUGAGGCUGUUAUCUUGCUGCUGUUCCUCCAAUUACAAAAGGUCAAAAGCGUUUCUCCUCAGGCAUUUGUUGAGGUCUCUGAAGCCUUUCCUGCUCUGCAUUAGGGAACACAAAUAGAGUAUCCAGUACCCAUCAUCGUGGACAAGAAGGCAAUGAAAAGCAAUAUGCGAGUGUUUUCGACAGUGAUGAACUCUUCAAAGCUCACUUCGUAUUCAGCACAUCAUACAGUGAAGCACUUUGCAGUUGCACCACAGCAGACAUCAGGAACAAAUUUACUGAGAGGUACCCAAAUGCAGCACAUCUGAGGCAGACAAACAGAUCAAGAGAUACCAGACAAAAAAGAAAGCAAGAAACAAAAGUAAAUUGCAGUUCUCAAGGAAAUAAAAGUCUUUGGCGUCAUCAAUAAACAUACAGAGCAGUCGGCUAGGUUUGAAGGAGAGAUGAGUCACUCAACUCCAGAAAGAGCUUCACAGUCCCAUCAACGUUCACGUUAUGGAAAAUCGCAGGGUGGAACAACAUGAUGCUUUGGAGAACAAACACAAACCCCCACCGAGAUCUCUAUGGUGUGAUGUGGAGCAAGACCUUCAGUUGGCUAAAAAAAAAAAUCAAUUUAGCACAUACAUUAAAUGUAAUGAGCAAGAGAGAGCAGAUAAACAACUUUCUCAUUCAUUACAAAUGAUCGCAUUUUUUAAAUGCUGGGUAGUAUUUUUUGCCAUCAUUUUGCCCCUCUUAAGUCUGUUUGAACUUCUUUUUUCCUUGGGUAUGAGGUUAUAAACUCUUUGAACGUAGAAGAUGACAUGCUUUGAUGCUUUUCUCUUUUCUGUCACCCUGUCAGAUGACACCUUCAAACUCAUGAAGAGCUCUGGGUUCAUAAUCAGAGUUCUCGAGAUUUUUAGACUGUGUGUGCAUAUACGACAAGCAGUCACUGAUUGAGAGAUAGAGCGUGAAGAAAUAGAGGAUCUAUAUCUUUAUUUGUAUUUUAUGUAAACAAGCAGUGGGCCUGUCUAUGGUGGUUUAAGCAGCUAAUGGAUGCUUGUGUGGGUGUAGAAUUGAUUCUAAAUGGUAAAAUCAUUUGGUAUGACAAUGGUAUCUGUUUUGUGAUAAUGAUGAGUAGUAAUCAAAACUAAAUCAAUUAAACUAUGUUUUCCCCUCUGGCCAUAAGAUUAUUUAAAGAUGAGAUAAACUGGCAAAACAAGAAGAGGGGAGUUUUGUAUCAUCCUAUUUUGCAUUAAUGACCAUAAUGGCAACAUUUAUUUUGCUUAUUACAUGGCUUCAUGCUGAAUAAAUA
This is a long non-coding RNA of Onychostoma macrolepis, 1478 nucleotides long. RefSeq lists it as uncharacterized. NCBI's taxonomy places the organism in Eukaryota, Metazoa, Chordata, Actinopteri, Cypriniformes, Cyprinidae. The record is from RefSeq and is a predicted model, not a curated record. The transcript has 7 exons.